RNAcentral lists this ribosomal RNA (1883 nucleotides) under human gut metagenome. Its description in RNAcentral is "bacterial LSU rRNA". It matches the Rfam family "Bacterial large subunit ribosomal RNA", at positions 3 to 1980 of the family's 2925-position model. The record is from RNAcentral.
UCAAGCUGAAAAGAGCGCAAGGGGAAUGCCUUGGCAUCAGGAGCCGACGAAGGACGUGACAAGCUGCGAUAAGCCACGGGGAGGAGCAAAUAUCCGAUAUAUCCGUGGAUUUCCGAAUGGGGGAACCCGCUCAAGCAAUACUUGAGCAUCGUGCGUUGAAUCAAAUAGGCGUACGAAGGGAACGGCCUGAACUGAAACAUCUAAGUAGGGCCAGGAAAAGACAUCAACCGAGAUUCCGCUAGUAGUGGCGAGCGAACGCGGAGGAGGCCAAACCGAGGGACGCAAGUUCUUCGGGGUUGCGGACAGACAUCAAGACCAGAGGUAAUUAAGAGAACGGCGUGGGAAAGCCGGCCAUAGAAGGUGAGAGCCCUGUAUCUGAAAAUGAAGACUGGCAGUCUGGAUCCAGAGUACCGCGGGACACGUGAAACCCCGUGGGAAACCGGGUGGACCACCAUCCAAGCCUAAAUACUACCUGAUGACCGAUAGAGGAGCAGUACCGUGAGGGAAAGGUGAAAAGGACCCCGGGAGGGGAGUGAAAGAGAACCUGAAACCUUGUGCCUACAAGCACAUAGAGCACAUCAACGUGUGAUAUGGUACUUUUUGUAGAACGGUCCGGCGAGCGAUUGUAUGUUGCGAGCUUAAGCGCUUAAGGCGUGGAGGCGUAGCGAGAGCGAGUCUGAAUAGGGCGUUCAGUAGCAUGCAAUGGGCCCGAAACCGGGUGACCUACCCAUGAUCAGGCUGAAGUGAAAGUAAAAUUUCAUGGAGGGCCGAACCGACCUCCGUUGAAAAGGCGGCGGAUGAAUUGUGGGUAGCGGAGAAAUUCCAAUCGAACUCGGAGAUAGCUGGUUCUCCCCGAAAUAGCUUUAGGGCUAGCCUCAUAUUAGAUACCCGGAGGUAAAGCACUGAAUGGCCUAGCGCCCGAGAGGGUAGCGAAGCCUAUCAAACUAAGAAUGCCGGAGUAUUGAUGUAUGGGAGUCAGACAGUGUGAGAUAAAUCUCAUUGUCAAAAGGGAAACAGCCCAGAUCUACAGCUAAGGUCCCAAAUUGUAUCUAAGUGGAAAACGAUGUGGAAAUACGCAGACAACCAGGAUGUUGGCUCAGAAGCAGCCACUCAUUUAAAGAGUGCGUAAUAGCUCACUGGUCGAGCGUCUCUGCGCGGAAAAUUUAACGGGGCUAAGAUACAAACCGAAGCUUAGGCUGCACGAAAGUGCGGGGUAGGGGAGCGUUGUGUAAGCGGAGAAACAGUAGCGUAAGCGGCUGUGGAGUUUACAGAAGUGAGAAUGCCGGAAUGAGUAGCGCGAAUGUGGUGAGAAUCCACAUGGCCGGAAACCUCAGGUUUUUGGAGGAAGGUUCGUCCGCUCCAAGUUAGGCGGGAGCUAAGGUCAGGCCGAAAGGCGUAGCCGAUGCACAGACGGUAGAGAUUCCGUCCCCACCGAAAGAUUUAAGCACAGGGACACUUUUAGAAGGUCGGAGCCAGGUGUUGGUUCUGGUAGUGAUCGAGGGAAAUAUAGUACCGAAGUCCGGCUGGAUGAGAGGCGAGAAAAGCUGUGUGUAUAUCUAAGGUGCCCGUACCGCAAACCGACACAGGUAGGUAGGAAGAAGAUUCUAAGGCCAACGGGAGAAGGGUUGUUAAGGAACUCGGCAAAUUGACCCCGUAACUUCGGGAGAAGGGGUGCUCCAGAGAUGGAGCCGCAGAGAAUCGGCCCAAGCAACUGUUUACCAAAAACACAGGUUUGUGCUAAAUCGAAAGAUGACGUAUACGAGCUGACGCCUGCCCGGUGCUGGAAGGUUAAGAGGAGAUGUGCAAGCAUUGAAUCGAAGCCCCAGUGAACGGCGGCCGUAACUAUAACGGUCCUAAGGUAGCGAAAUUCCUUGUCAGGUAAG